AGGGCACCACCAGGAGUGGAGCCUGCGGCUUAAUUUGACUCAACACGGGAAAACUUACCAGGUCCAGACAUAGGAAGGAUAGACAGAUUAAGAGUUCUUUCAUGAUUUAUUGGGUAGUGGUGCAUGGCCGUUCUUAGUUGGUGGAGUGAUUUGUCAGGUUAAUUCCGAUAACGAACGAGACCUCCGCCUGCUAAAUGGUUUUCUAUAGUAUUCUAUAGGAAUCCUCUUAGAGGGACACUAUACAUAAAGUAUAGGGAAGCUGGAGGCA
This 268-nucleotide ribosomal RNA is filed under the name uncultured eukaryote. RNAcentral's name for it is "partial small subunit ribosomal RNA". It matches the Rfam family "Eukaryotic small subunit ribosomal RNA", at positions 1161 to 1452 of the family's 1831-position model. The record is from RNAcentral.